This 453-nucleotide ribosomal RNA is filed under the name uncultured bacterium. RNAcentral's name for it is "bacterial SSU rRNA". It matches the Rfam family "Bacterial small subunit ribosomal RNA", at positions 364 to 832 of the family's 1533-position model. The record is from RNAcentral.
UUCGCAAUGCCCGAAAGGGUGAACGAGCGACGCCGCGUGCGGGAUGAAGGCCUUCGGGCCGUAAACCGCUUUUGUAAGGGAAAAACUUAAUGAUGGUACCUUACGAAUAAGAGGUUACUAACUCUGUGCCAGCAGUAGCGGUAAUACAGAGACCUCAAGCGUUAUCCGGAUUUAUUGGGCGUAAAGCGCGGGUAGGCGGGAAUAUUAGUCAGAUGUCAAAUCCUCGAGCUCAACUCGAGAACUGCAUUUGAAACUGAGGGGCUCGAGUGAUGGAGGGGAGAGUGGAACUCCUGGUGGAGCGGUAAAAUGCGUAGAUAUCAGGAGGAACGCCGGUGGAGGAGUCGACUCUCUGGCCAUCUACUGACGCUGAGAUGCGAAAGCUAGGGGAGCAAACGGGAUUAGAUACCCCGGUAGUCCUAGCCGUAAACGAUGGGCACUAAGUAGAGGGGUUUU